AGCAACACCGCGUGAGUGAAGAAGGGUUUCGGCAUCGUAAAGCUCUGUUGUUAGGAGAAGAACAGUGCGUGAGAGUAACUGUUCACAGCAGUGACGGUAUCCAACCAGAAAGUCACGGCUAACUACGUGCCAGCAGCCGCGGUAAUACGUAGGUGGCAAGCGUUAUCCGGAUUUAUUGGGCGUAAAGCGAGCGCAGGCGGUUUUUUAAGUCUGAUGUGAAAGCCUUCGGCUUAACCGAAGAAGUGCAUCGGAAACUGGGCGACUUGAGUGCAGAAGAGGGCAGUGGAACUCCAUGUGUAGCGGUGGAAUGCGUAGAUAUAUGGAAGAA
This 328-nucleotide ribosomal RNA is filed under the name uncultured bacterium. RNAcentral describes it as "bacterial SSU rRNA". It matches the Rfam family "Bacterial small subunit ribosomal RNA", at positions 390 to 706 of the family's 1533-position model. The record is from RNAcentral.